Molecule: long non-coding RNA, 866 nt
Organism: Apis florea (little honeybee)
Lineage: Eukaryota; Metazoa; Arthropoda; Insecta; Hymenoptera; Apidae
Source: RefSeq, a predicted model, not a curated record
UUAAUUAUAAGCAUUCGAUUGAAAUUGCAUUUGCUGUUCGUUUCGUUGAUUUAUCAGUAACUUACUUUUCAACAACUUCCCUACUUAUCUCUCAAUACCAUUUUUUUAGAUAAAUAACUUUUUCUUUUAGCAUCGUGUGAACACAGAUUACGAGCGUCGGACAUCUUUCUGCAUUGCCAUAUAUGAGUAAGUGUUUGACUAAUGAUGAGAUCGUGCCAGUAUCGGUACUAUCAGUACUAUGCGCGUCAUGUUAGUCUGGCCGUUUAAGCUUAUUUCGCGGGCAAACGUAGGGGACGUACCGAAAUAAAGUCUUCCCACGCACGAAUUCGAUGCUAAAAGAGAUCCGACGUCCAUUUCUAAAGUUAUCCUUUGCUCUCGGCACGUGCCACACGAUACGGAGGUCUGCCCGACUGCGUGUUUCUUCCACUCUGUGGAAAUUUGUGAAAUACGACUAUGACAUGAUACUCGGAUAGAUUCUGGCGAAGGCAGCAGAAUAGAGGAAAGAAUGAAGGGAGGAAAAGAGAGAAAAGAGGGAAGGAGGAAAAGAGAGAAAAGAGGGAAGGAGGAAAAGAGAGAAAAGAGGGAGGGAGGAAAAGAAAGAAAAGAAGGGAGGUAACGAUACAGAUGAGCGGCAUGCACAGAAUAAAAGUUCGAAGUUAUCUUGCGACAAAUGCAAGGAAUCAUGACAAAACAAACAGGUUCAUGACUAUAAACAAGAAAUUGCAAGAUCGCUAAAAUUAGUCGAGUAAAACGUAAUUCGAUAUUUGAAGAUAAAGCAGAUACUUUGCCAGACCACAUAUACAAUUCCUAUGUAUUUGCUUAAACUUGGUUAUUUACUAAAAUAAAUAAUCUUAAUUAUUUAUAAU